AUUGAACGCUGGCGGCACGCCUAACACAUGCAAGUCGAGCGGCAGCGAGAGUAGUAGCAAUACUACUUGUCGGAGAGCGGCGGACGGGUGAGGAACACGUAGGGACCUGCCGUAGAGAGGGGGACAACCAAGGGAAACUUUGGCUAAUACCGCAUAAUCUCGCGAGAGAACAGCUGCGCGCAAGGGUGGCGCGUUAACAGGGGACUGCGUCCGAUUAGCUAGUUGGUGAGGUAACGGCUCACCAAGGCGAUGAUCGGUAACUGGUCUGAGAGGACGACCAGUCACACUGGGACUGAGACACGGCCCAGACUCCUACGGGAGGCAGCAGUGGGGAAUAUUGGACAAUGGGGGCAACCCUGAUCCAGCAAUACCGCGUGUGUGAAGAAGGCCUGAGGGUUGUAAAGCACUUUCAGUGGGGAGGAGGAUUGAUUGGUUAAGAGCUGAUUGAUUGGACGUUACCCACAGAAGAAGCACCGGCUAACUCCGUGCCAGCCGCCGCGGUAA
This 504-nucleotide ribosomal RNA is filed under the name uncultured bacterium. Its description in RNAcentral is "partial 16S ribosomal RNA". It matches the Rfam family "Bacterial small subunit ribosomal RNA", at positions 29 to 523 of the family's 1533-position model. The record is from RNAcentral.